RNAcentral lists this unclassified non-coding RNA (311 nucleotides) under uncultured Sordariomycetes. RNAcentral describes it as "sequence contains ITS1". The stretch from base 1 to 105 matches the Rfam family "5.8S ribosomal RNA", at positions 50 to 154 of the family's 154-position model. The record is from RNAcentral. Lineage: Eukaryota; Fungi; Ascomycota; Sordariomycetes.
GAAAUGCGAUAAGUAAUGUGAAUUGCAGAAUUCAGUGAAUCAUCGAAUCUUUGAACGCACAUUGCGCCCGUCAGUACUCUGGCGGGCAUGCCUGUCCGAGCGUCAUUACAACCCUCAAGCCCCCCGGGCUUGGUGUUGGGGAUCGGCCUCCGCCGCGAGGCUGGCCGUCCCCGAAAUCCAGUGGCGGCCGCGCCCCAGCUUCCCCUGCGUAGUAGCACACCUCGCAGCGGGUGGCGGCGCGGUCCUGCCGUGAAACCCCCAUCUCCACCAAGGUUGACCUCGGAUCAGGUAGGAAUACCCGCUGAACUUAA